Molecule: ribosomal RNA, 465 nt
Filed under: Vreelandella stevensii
Lineage: Bacteria; Pseudomonadati; Pseudomonadota; Gammaproteobacteria; Oceanospirillales; Halomonadaceae
Description: partial 16S ribosomal RNA
Rfam family: Bacterial small subunit ribosomal RNA
Source: RNAcentral
CCUACGGGUGGCAGCAGUGGGGAAUAUUGGACAAUGGGCGAAAGCCUGAUCCAGCCAUGCCGCGUGUGUGAAGAAGGCCUUCGGGUUGUAAAGCACUUUCAGUGGGGAAGAAAGCCUUGGGGCUAAUACCCUCGAGGAAGGACAUCACCCACACAAGAAGCACCGGCUAACUCCGCGCCAGCAGCCGCGGUAAUACGGAGGGUGCGAGCGUUAAUCGGAAUUACUGGGCGUAAAGCGCGCGUAGGCGGUCUGAUAAGCCGGUUGUGAAAGCCCCGGGCUCAACCUGGGAACGGCAUCCGGAACUGUCAGGCUAGAGUGCAGGAGAGGAAGGUAGAAUUCCCGGUGUAGCGGUGAAAUGCGUAGAGAUCGGGAGGAAUACCAGUGGCGAAGGUGGCCUUCUGGACUGACACUGACGCUGAGGUGCGAAAGCGUGGGUAGCAAACAGGAUUAGAUACCCUUGUAGUC